GUGCUCACUUCAGCAGCACAUAUACUAAUAUUGAAAUGAUACAGAGAAGAUUAACAUGACCCUUGUGCAAGGAUGACACACAAAUUCAUGAAGUGUUCCACAUUUUU
Rhinolophus ferrumequinum (greater horseshoe bat) is the source of this 107-nucleotide small nuclear RNA. Lineage: Eukaryota; Metazoa; Chordata; Mammalia; Chiroptera; Rhinolophidae. The record is from Ensembl.